Molecule: ribosomal RNA, 490 nt
Filed under: uncultured bacterium
Lineage: Bacteria
Description: partial 16S ribosomal RNA
Rfam family: Bacterial small subunit ribosomal RNA
Source: RNAcentral
GACGAACGCUGGCGGCAGGCCUAACACAUGCAAGUCGAACGGUAACAGGAAGAAGCUUGCUUCUUUGCUGACGAGUGGCGGACGGGUGAGUAAUGUCUGGGAAACUGCCUGAUGGAGGGGGAUAACUACUGGAAACGGUAGCUAAUACCGCAUAACGUCGCAAGACCAAAGAGGGGGACCUUCGGGCCUCUUGCCAUCGGAUGUGCCCAGAUGGGAUUAGCUAGUAGGUGGGGUAACGGCUCACCUAGGCGACGAUCCCUAGCUGGUCUGAGAGGAUGACCAGCCACACUGGAACUGAGACACGGUCCAGACUCCUACGGGAGGCAGCAGUGGGGAAUAUUGCACAAUGGGCGCAAGCCUGAUGCAGCCAUGCCGCGUGUAUGAAGAAGGCCUUCGGGUUGUAAAGUACUUUCAGCGGGGAGGAAGGGAGUAAAGUUAAUACCUUUGCUCAUUGACGUUACCCGCAGAAGAAGCACCGGCUAACUCCGUG